GACGAACGCUGGCGGCGUGCUUAACACAUGCAAGUCGAGCGGUAAGGCCCUUUCGGGGGUACACGAGCGGCGAACGGGUGAGUAACACGUGGGUGACCUGCCCUCAGCUCUGGGAUAAGCCUGGGAAACCGGGUCUAAUACUGGAUAUGACUCCAUGACGCAUGUUGUGGGGUGGAAAGCCUUGUGCGGCUGAGGAUGGGCCCGCGGCCUAUCAGCUUGUUGGUGGGGNGAUGGCCUACCAAGGCGACGACGGGUAGCCGGCCUGAGAGGGCGACCGGCCACACUGGGACUGAGACACGGCCCAGACUCCUACGGGAGGCAGCAGUGGGGAAUUUUUGUCAA
RNAcentral lists this ribosomal RNA (342 nucleotides) under uncultured bacterium. RNAcentral describes it as "bacterial SSU rRNA". It matches the Rfam family "Bacterial small subunit ribosomal RNA", at positions 28 to 371 of the family's 1533-position model. The record is from RNAcentral.